GAUGAACGCUGGCGGCGUGCCUAAUACAUGCAAGUCGAGCGAACGGACGAGAAGCUUGCUUCUCUGACGUUAGCGGCGGACGGGUGAGUAACACGUGGAUAACCUACCUAUAAGACUGGGAUAACUUCGGGGAACCGGAGCUAAUACCGGAUAAUAUAUUGAACCGCAUGGUUCAAAAGUGAAAGACGGUCUUGCUGUCACUUAUAGAUGGAUCCGCGCUGCAUUAGCUAGUUGGUAAGGUAACGGCUUACCAAGGCAACGAUGCAUAGCCGACCUGAGAGGGUGAUCGGCCACACUGGAACUGAGACACGGUCCAGACUCCAACGGGAGGCAGCAGUAGGGAAUCUUCCGCAAUGGGCGAAAGCCUGACGGAGCAACGCCGCGUGAGUGAUGAAGGUCUUCGGAUCGUAAAACUCUGUUAUUAGGGAAGAACAUAUGUGUAAGUAACUAUGCACGUCUUGACGGUACCUAAUCAGAAAGCCACGGCUAACUACGUG
Molecule: ribosomal RNA, 497 nt
Filed under: uncultured bacterium
Lineage: Bacteria
Description: partial 16S ribosomal RNA
Rfam family: Bacterial small subunit ribosomal RNA
Source: RNAcentral